RNAcentral lists this ribosomal RNA (453 nucleotides) under uncultured bacterium. RNAcentral's name for it is "bacterial SSU rRNA". It matches the Rfam family "Bacterial small subunit ribosomal RNA", at positions 29 to 506 of the family's 1533-position model. The record is from RNAcentral.
ACUAACGCUGGCGGCGCGCCUAAUACAUGCAAGUCGAACGAUGUAGCAAUACAUAGUGGCGCACGGGAGAGUAACACGUGGAUAAUCUCCCCUCGAGAGAAGAAUAACUAGUCGAAAGAUUGGCUAAUACUUCAUAAGACCACAGAGACUAAUGUCUCAGAGGUAAAAGUAGUAAUACGCUUGAGGAUGAGUCUGCGUCCCAUUAGCUAGUUGGUGAGGUAACGGCUCACCAAGGCGACGAUGGGUAGCUGGUCUGAGAGGAUGAUCAGCCUCACUGGAACUGACAUACGGUCCAGACUCCUACGGGAGGCAGCAGUAGGGAAUAUUGCACAAUGGAGGAAACUCUGAUGCAGCGACGCCGCGUGAGUGAUGAAGGACUUCGGUUUGUAAAGCUCUGUUGUCAGGGAAUAAAAAAAUGAAUGUACCUGACGAGAAAGGACCGGCUAACUUCGU